Molecule: ribosomal RNA, 372 nt
Filed under: uncultured organism
Description: partial 16S ribosomal RNA
Rfam family: Bacterial small subunit ribosomal RNA
Source: RNAcentral
GUAGGUGGCAAGCGUUGUCCGGAAUUAUUGGGCGUAAAGCGCGCGCAGGCGGUUCUUUAAGUCUGAUGUGAAAGCCCACGGGCUCAACCGUGGAGGGUCAUUGGAAACUGGAGAACUUGAGUACAGAAGAGGAAAGCGGAAUUCCACGUGUAGCGGUGAAAUGCGUAGAGAUGUGGAGGAACACCAGUGGCGAAGGCGGCUUUCUGGUCUGUAACUGACGCUGAGGCGCGAAAGCGUGGGGAGCAAACAGGAUUGGAUACCCUGGUAGUCCACGCCGUAAACGAUGAGUGCUAAGUGUUAGGGGGUUUCCGCCCCUUAGUGCUGCAGCUAACGCAUUAAGCACUCCGCCUGGGGAGUACGGCCGCAAGGCUG